GGAGGUGUCGCCUAGUGGCCUAUGGCGCCCGCCUGCUAAGCGGGUUGAGGGCUAAACCCUCUCGCGGGUUCAAAUCCCGCCACCUCCG
This 88-nucleotide transfer RNA is filed under the name Nocardioides sp. HDW12B. It matches the Rfam family "tRNA". Rfam says of the family: Transfer RNA (tRNA) molecules are approximately 80 nucleotides in length. The record is from Rfam by way of RNAcentral. Lineage: Bacteria; Bacillati; Actinomycetota; Actinomycetes; Propionibacteriales; Nocardioidaceae. RNAcentral also lists the same sequence under 1 other name.